CGGGGUCUAACCGGCCCCAACUCUUCAUC
Molecule: ribosomal RNA, 29 nt
Filed under: Physcia dubia
Lineage: Eukaryota; Fungi; Ascomycota; Lecanoromycetes; Caliciales; Physciaceae
Description: partial 18S ribosomal RNA
Source: RNAcentral